This 1359-nucleotide ribosomal RNA is filed under the name uncultured bacterium. RNAcentral describes it as "bacterial SSU rRNA". It matches the Rfam family "Bacterial small subunit ribosomal RNA", at positions 28 to 1381 of the family's 1533-position model. The record is from RNAcentral.
GAUGAACGCUAGCUACAGGCUUAACACAUGCAAGUCGAGGGGCAGCAUUUUAGUUUGCUUGCAAACUGAAGAUGGCGACCGGCGCACGGGUGAGUAACACGUAUCCAACCUGCCGAUAACUCCGGAAUAGCCUUUCGAAAGAAAGAUUAAUACCGGAUAGCAUACGAAUAUCGCAUGAUAUUUUUAUUAAAGAAUUUCGGUUAUCGAUGGGGAUGCGUUCCAUUAGUUUGUUGGCGGGGUAACGGCCCACCAAGACUACGAUGGAUAGGGGUUCUGAGAGGAAGGUCCCCCACAUUGGAACUGAGACACGGUCCAAACUCCUACGGGAGGCAGCAGUGAGGAAUAUUGGUCAAUGGGCGAGAGCCUGAACCAGCCAAGUAGCGUGAAGGAUGAAGGCUCUAUGGGUCGUAAACUUCUUUUAUAUGGGAAUAAAGUUUUCCACGUGUGGAAUUUUGUAUGUACCAUAUGAAUAAGGAUCGGCUAACUCCGUGCCAGCAGCCGCGGUAAUACGGAGGAUCCGAGCGUUAUCCGGAUUUAUUGGGUUUAAAGGGAGCGUAGGUGGAUUGUUAAGUCAGUUGUGAAAGUUUGCGGCUCAACCGUAAAAUUGCAGUUGAAACUGGCAGUCUUGAGUACAGUAGAGGUGGGCGGAAUUCGUGGUGUAGCGGUGAAAUGCUUAGAUAUCACGAAGAACUCCGAUUGCGAAGGCAGCUCACUAGACUGUCACUGACACUGAUGCUCGAAAGUGUGGGUAUCAAACAGGAUUAGAUACCCUGGUAGCCCACACAGUAAACGAUGAAUACUCGCUGUUUGCGAUAUACAGUAAGCGGCCAAGCGAAAGCAUUAAGUAUUCCACCUGGGGAGUACGCCGGCAACGGUGAAACUCAAAGGAAUUGACGGGGGCCCGCACAAGCGGAGGAACAUGUGGUUUAAUUCGAUGAUACGCGAGGAACCUUACCCGGGCUUAAAUUGCAACAGAAUAUAUUGGAAACAGUAUAGCCGUAAGGCUGUUGUGAAGGUGCUGCAUGGUUGUCGUCAGCUCGUGCCGUGAGGUGUCGGCUUAAGUGCCAUAACGAGCGCAACCCUUAUCUUUAGUUACUAACAGGUCAUGCUGAGGACUCUAGAGAGACUGCCGUCGUAAGAUGUGAGGAAGGUGGGGAUGACGUCAAAUCAGCACGGCCCUUACGUCCGGGGCUACACACGUGUUACAAUGGGGGGUACAGAAGGCGGCUACCUGGUGACAGGAUGCUAAUCCCAAAAACCUCUCUCAGUUCGGAUCGAAGUCUGCAACCCGACUUCGUGAAGCUGGAUUCGCUAGUAAUCGCGCAUCAGCCAUGGCGCGGUGAAUACGUUCCCGGGCCU